Molecule: long non-coding RNA, 545 nt
Filed under: Ananas comosus (pineapple)
Lineage: Eukaryota; Viridiplantae; Streptophyta; Magnoliopsida; Poales; Bromeliaceae
Description: long non-coding RNA (ACOM_LNC037976)
Source: RNAcentral
UCUUAUGCAUCAAAACAUCCUUUGCCCUCUCAACAUUCACAUCCAUUGCACAUUUGCAGCAUUAAAAGUUCAACAACCAGAUCACAAACAGAUUGCGAGCAAAUCAAAGGAAAAAAAAAAAAACACCCUCAAAUACAACACCAAAACAUCAAAAACCAAGUCCGCCACUCUACAUAUGCACUGCAAUCGGUUAAUCUUCUGCUGCGGUUUUGGGAGAUAAGGAGUCUCGAGGGUUGGGAGAUGAGGAGGGAGCGGUUUUGGAAGAUGAGGGAUCUCGGGGUUUGGAAGAUGAGGAAGAUAAGGGGUCUCGGAGGUUAGGAGAUGAGAGAGGAGCAAUUUUGGGAGAUGAAGAGGAAGCGGUUUUGGGAGAAGGAGGUAAUGCCACGUCAGCAAGAUAUUGGGGNUAAUUUAGCCAGCAGCACUUUUUUGACCUAUACCGACAUUUAAAAGUGUCGCUAUAUACCGUUUUUGUUGUAGUGUCUUGAAGCACUUCAAUUCAUCUUAUCCACAUAUUGUCUAAAGUUCAUUCCUAUGCAUUGAUAAAA